RNAcentral lists this ribosomal RNA (348 nucleotides) under Bacteroidota bacterium. Its description in RNAcentral is "bacterial SSU rRNA". It matches the Rfam family "Bacterial small subunit ribosomal RNA", at positions 1 to 366 of the family's 1533-position model. Lineage: Bacteria; Pseudomonadati; Bacteroidota. The record is from RNAcentral.
ACUACGGAGAGUUUGAUCCUGGCUCAGGACGAACGCUGGCGGCGUGCCUAACACAUGCAAGUCAAGGCGGUAGCAAUACCGACUGGCGCACGGGUGCGGAACGCGUAGGCAAUCUGCCCACGAGGGGAGAACAACCAGCCGAAAGGUUGGCUAAAUCUCCGUAACAUAAGAAGCCGGCAUCGGUUUUUUAUCAAGCUUUCUUGUGGAUGAGCCUGCGUCUGAUUAGCUAGUUGGUAGUGUAACGGACUACCAAGGCUUCGAUCAGUAGCUGGUCUGAGAGGAUGAUCAGCCACAUUGGGACUGAGACACGGCCCAGACUCCUACGGGAGGCAGCAGUGGGGAAUCUUG